This 261-nucleotide ribosomal RNA is filed under the name uncultured bacterium. Its description in RNAcentral is "partial small subunit ribosomal RNA". It matches the Rfam family "Bacterial small subunit ribosomal RNA", at positions 26 to 282 of the family's 1533-position model. The record is from RNAcentral.
AGGACGAACGCUGGCGGCGUGCUUAACACAUGCAAGUCGAACGCGAAAGUCCCCUUCGGGGGAUGAUUAGAGUGGCGCACGGGUGAGUAACACGUAGGUAAUCUACCUUCGAGUGGGGAAUAACUCAGGGAAACUUGAGCUAAUACCGCAUAAUGCAGCGGCACCACAUGGUGACAGUUGUUAAAGCAUUUAUGCGCUUGAAGAGGAGCCUGCGGCAGAUUAGCUAGUUGGUAAGGUAAUGGCUUACCAAGGCUACGAUCU